GUUCCAGACUCCUACGGGAGGCAGCAGUGGGGGAUAUUGCACAAUGGGGGAAACCCUGAUGCAGCGACGCCGCGUGAGCGAUGAAGUAUUUCGGUAUGUAAAGCUCUAUCAGCAGGGAAGAAAAUGACGGUACCUGACUAAGAAGCCCUGGCUAACUACGUGCCAGCAGCCGCGGUAAUACGUAGGGGGCAAGCGUUAUCCGGAUUUACUGGGUGUAAAGGGAGCGUAGACGGCGAGGUAAGCCUGAAGUGGAAGCCCGCGGCCCAACCGCGGGACUGCUCUUGGAACUGCGUGGCUGGAGUGCAGGAGGGGGAGGCGGAAUUCCUGGUGUAGCGGUGAAAUGCGUAGAUAUCAGGAGGAACACCGGUGGCGAAGGCGGCCUGCUGGACUGCAACUGACGUUGAGGCCCGAAAGCGUGGGGAGCAAACAGGAUUAGAUACCCCCGUAAA
RNAcentral lists this ribosomal RNA (449 nucleotides) under uncultured bacterium. RNAcentral describes it as "bacterial SSU rRNA". It matches the Rfam family "Bacterial small subunit ribosomal RNA", at positions 328 to 794 of the family's 1533-position model. The record is from RNAcentral.